RNAcentral lists this long non-coding RNA (253 nucleotides) under Capsicum annuum. Its description in RNAcentral is "long non-coding RNA (CANN_LNC018103)". Lineage: Eukaryota; Viridiplantae; Streptophyta; Magnoliopsida; Solanales; Solanaceae. The record is from RNAcentral.
ACGAGGUUAUUAAAGCCUCACCUUUUAAAACCAAGUUCGAACGAGGCACAAUGACACCUCAAUGUAAGGAUCUUGAUCGAAUAAUUGAGCAAAACAAUUAUACAAAUCAAGUUCUUCACACCAUUUCCCAGCAGAUUGAAGAAACCAAGAGUUCUCCUCUCUCUGCACCCCUACCAGUCAAGAGCACUCCAAGCUCUAAACCUCUUUCAAAUCCUAUCUUUAAACUCCCAGAGUUUCACAAAGAUAANNNNNN